GGCAACAUAGUUUUAAUAUAGGGAAUUCUUAUUUUACACGUAAGGGGUGGUUGUGAAAAGCCUGUUGCCA
Molecule: transfer RNA, 70 nt
Filed under: Diplodiscus mehrai
Lineage: Eukaryota; Metazoa; Platyhelminthes; Trematoda; Plagiorchiida; Diplodiscidae
Description: tRNA-Val
Source: RNAcentral